AAGAUCGUAGUAUAAUUAAGUAUGUACCAUUGUCUAUGUUAAGGUUUAAGAUUUUUGAAGUCUUA
This 65-nucleotide transfer RNA is filed under the name Philometra sp. HZ-2022. Its description in RNAcentral is "tRNA-Asp". The record is from RNAcentral. Lineage: Eukaryota; Metazoa; Nematoda; Chromadorea; Rhabditida; Philometridae.